UUGCAAAGCACCCCACUAAUUUGCUAAUUUGGCUAAGGUAAGAGCAAAGGUCUGAUAGUACUCCUACAGGAUUUUUAGAAAGACUAUUAGAGCGGUACAGGAUGUAAACUCAUUUUAAUCCCAUGGCAGCAGAUCGCCAAGCCAAUGUAGUGAUGUCUUUUAUAGGCCAGUCAGCAUCAGACAGCAAGUUGCAGAGAAUGGAGGGACGGCAGAGAUGCUCCCUUCAGGACUUAAUAAAAAAAAAAUUAGACAGAUAGGGAGGCAACAGAAGACGACAGCUGCAGAGACUGCGCACCUCAGACAGAGCAGCCCCUGAGUGGCCAAAUGCAGACUUCAGUGAGGAGUGGCCCUACAGGACUUUGGGCUCGAGACACUUCCCAAAGCAGCUGCUGAGCAGAAGCAGGUCGGAGAACGGUGCCAAGCACAGCCGGCUACUGAAGCAGCACUCUGCCCACCUGAGAGGCCAACGCAGCAGCCACAAUGAUAGUACUGAAAUCCCCCCCCCUUGCUUAUGCUGUGCACCCAGGUGUUCGAUUCUGGGGUGUACGGAAAAAAGGGGAGGGGUUCCCCCUCGCUAUGUCUAAAGCAUUUGACUAUGGACACAAGAACUGCUGAUUAUUCCUGAGUGUCCCACACUUUUAUUAAAAAAAGACCUGUUGGAGACUGAUUUCCCCUACUGUUCUCCAGGACUGUAAAGAAAAGCAGGCUGCUCUCUGCCUUCGCCAUGCCUACCUUGCUGAGGAAGGCUUUGCAGCCACUGCUGGCUGAAUCCUCCCAGCUGCCUUGGUCACAGCCCAAGCCUGGGAACUCUGCUUACAGCCACCUGCCCCCGCAGGUAGCAACUGACUGAAGCGAGGAGGGGACCUGGAGAUGCUGGAGCCCAAUUCCAAACAGCCUUCCUGAGCUGCUUGCAAGUUUCACAGAAAACAACUGCCCCCAGCUCCCAGACCGCAGCUGUGAAAAUCUUGGGGUACUGCAAUGCCCAAGCAGAGCAGGUUUUGAUGGCGCAUGCUGGUAAGGAGGCAGGGCAACAAUGAUAAAUGACCUGAGCAGCCUACUUAAAGGGACAUCACCUGGAUGGCAGAGAAGCUUUUUCUUACCAGGACUAAGAAGAUCAAAGAAGAAAUCUUCUCGAGGUUUGGCCUGCUCAAGGCGCGGUUGAAGGCUCUCCAGAUCGCCGAGCCCAGGCAUAGAGACCCCUGGCCACCCUGACACCUGGAAAUCUCGCAUUCGUUCCAGAAUUGACGCCUGGGGUAUAUCCGGAGGGACAUGAGGAAAGCUGCAGCACCCCACAGCCAGAACGGCAGCUGCCCACUCAUACCUGCAAUCCAUGCCUCCUCAAGCCCUUGCUUCGAUACCCCUGCCCUCACCCCUGAUUUCUGUCAACUAGUAGCAGGGCUAGCCUCCUGGGAUAUCUGAGAUACAUAUCCCCCACAGCUGCCCCGGGAGGCUGGCAAAAGAUUUUCCCCUGGAGGAAAUAUUUGGACACGGGGGUUCAGACAUCUCCCCCACUUGUCUCCUAAGGGCGAGAAGUGGGACUGUCUCCAUGGGUGUCGGGAAGGACUUGGGACAUAAAAUGGUAUUUAUCUGACCAGAGCCUGCUGCUGCAGGCCAGACUAGACCGUCCCUAAAGGGGCCCUAGCUAUCCCUGCUGCUGCCAGCCAGACUAAGCUACUCUCCCUGCUUCUCUGCUGGCACCUCCCAACACCAGCCCGGGCACCCGGAAAUCUCACACCCGCUCCAGGUUGGCGAUUCUGUGUAUGUUCAGAGACACCGGUCCCAGAACCUUAAACCUCGCUGGAAGGGACCCUACACCUACUGCCCUCAGAGUGGACGAUCUUGCAGCCUGGAUCCAUGCAUCUCACAUCAAGCCUACACCUCCACAGGACGACCCAGGACCAUCCAAAUGAAAGUUUCAGCGUACCCAAAAUCCUCUCGCCUCUUGGGAGGAUACUGAGCAAACCCCUGGAAACUUUUAUCCUGUAUGCAAAUAUUCUGAAUGAUAUGUUUGUCCGGGGGAAAAACAAUAUUGGGGGGGGGCGGCUAAAGUUUAUUGUGCUGCCUGGGGAUGUAAAACCAAUGUCAAUGUCUCCUGGUUGAGGGUUAACAAAAAGGACUUAGUCUCUUUCACCCGUACCACACCAGAAAAAAUGUCUGAAAUCACAAUCACUUUUACUGAGAAAAAAAAAUCUGACAGGCAAUACUUGGGGUUUAUAGUUAUAUGAUCCAGAAAAAAAAAGACAUAGGGAUUCUGUUCACCCUGUGAGUUGUAACACCUCCAAUGACCAUAGUACUAGGGCCCAACCCAGUAUUAACUGACCAGGGCCAAUGAGCCCCUGCCGAGGUAGCCCCCCUUUCCAGGGCCCUGGGCUCCACUCCUAGUCCUAAAAACCCUUCUACAACUCCUGCUUCACUGCUGGCAAGCUCUAAUACAGGCCAGUGACUGUUUAAUCUGAUAGUGGGAGCCUUUUCUUUGCUAAAUAGUACUGACCCCAGCUUGACACAAUCUUGUUGGCUAUGCUUGUCAGCAGGACCUCCCUAAUAUGAGAAAAUAGUCUCAUCUGACAGUUUAUUGAUCUAUGAUGGGUCUAUAACACUGGUUUGUUAAUCUCUGUGUACAGAUCCAAUUGGUCCUCCAAAUUUACUAAUAUCUCAAGAUUGAGAUAUUUGACCAAAUAAGAGGAAGGAAUGUAAGACUUUAAGACAAUCCUGAAGCCAUUUUUGACAAUUCUGAAUCCUCUCAGCCUCUGUGCCAUAGUGCUUCCCCUCCUGCCUUGGGAACCAAAGACCUAACAGCUACACUCACACGUACUCAGUUCCUGAACAAUUACCCAUAUACGUAUGCUUUGGUUCGGUCCCCUGGGAAACGGGGUCAAAAUGACCUCUUACCUCAUCUGAUCUGGCAACAGCUCCCCAGUCAAUUAUUGGUAAUAGCCCUUUCAAAUAAGCCAAUCAGAAUAGUCAAAGAACAACCCCCCUUGCUUCUGUGGCCCCUUUAAAAGUAGACUGUACCCGCUAUUCGAGGUCCCUCGGCUUCCCGAAUGCUGGGGGCCCCUGUCAUGACAGAAUUAAUAAAAUCCUCAUGCUUUUG
Long non-coding RNA from Alexandromys fortis (reed vole), 3091 nucleotides. RefSeq lists it as uncharacterized. NCBI's taxonomy places the organism in Eukaryota, Metazoa, Chordata, Mammalia, Rodentia, Cricetidae. The transcript has 2 exons. The record is from RefSeq and is a predicted model, not a curated record.